UUCUCUCUUUUUCACUCUUCACCUCUUUUUGUUCCUUGUCAGAUCCCAGUCACAGUGUGGUUUUCAGUUACCUGCCUGCUUGUUACCAACCUGCAAUUUUGGACUCUCUGCCAACAGAAGCUCAAAACAGAGGGGGAUGCCAUUUAGCUCCAUAUCACCCUGCUCGCAGCUAUUUCCUCUGGUGGAGGAGACUUGAUGAAGUAAGCCUACUGGACAUAAAGUUAAGCCCAGUGAGAUAUUUUCCAAGAUGAAUGGUGUCCUAGAGGCCCUGUUCACCCCACAUGACAAACUGUACAGUGACUCUUCACUCUUCUCAAAUGUUAAUUGGAUAAAACCUGGCACCAUUGACAUACAGACUUCUCCAUUUUUUUCCUGAAUCAGAAUUGACUUAAUUGGACUGUAGUGAAAUAAUUUCCAUGACGACAUGCAGUCAUCAUCAGGUUUAUAUUGCUGUGCUUUCCAAUUGUUGUCACCUGUAUCUGAUGAUUAC
Molecule: long non-coding RNA, 490 nt
Organism: Perca flavescens (yellow perch)
Lineage: Eukaryota; Metazoa; Chordata; Actinopteri; Perciformes; Percidae
Exons: 3
Source: RefSeq, a predicted model, not a curated record